GAUGAACGCUGGCGGCGUGCCUAAUACAUGCAAGUAGAACGCUGAAGGAGGAGCUUGCUCUUCUGGAUGAGUUGCGAACGGGUGAGUAACGCGUAGGUAACCUGCCUGGUAGCGGGGGAUAACUAUUGGAAACGAUAGCUCAUACCGCAUGACAACAGUUAUUGCAUGAUAACUGUUUAAAAGGGGCAACUGCUCCACUACCAGAUGGACCUGCGUUGUAUUAGCUAGUUGGUGAGGUAACGGCUCACCAAGGCGACGAUACAUAGCCGACCUGAGAGGGUGAUCGGCCACACUGGGACUGAGACACGGCCCAGACUCCUACGGGAGGCAGCAGUAGGGAAUCUUCGGCAAUGGACGGAAGUCUGACCGAGCAACGCCGCGUGAGUGAAGAAGGUUUUCGGAUCGUAAAGCUCUGUUGUAAGAGAAGAACGAGUGUGAGAGUGGAAAGUUCACACUGUGACGGUAUCUUACCAGAAAGGGACGGCUAACUACGUG
This 495-nucleotide ribosomal RNA is filed under the name uncultured bacterium. Its description in RNAcentral is "partial 16S ribosomal RNA". It matches the Rfam family "Bacterial small subunit ribosomal RNA", at positions 28 to 507 of the family's 1533-position model. The record is from RNAcentral.